Molecule: ribosomal RNA, 467 nt
Filed under: uncultured bacterium
Lineage: Bacteria
Description: partial 16S ribosomal RNA
Rfam family: Bacterial small subunit ribosomal RNA
Source: RNAcentral
GAUGAACGCUGGCGGCGUGCUUAACACAUGCAAGUCGAACGGAAAGGCCCAAGCUUGCUUGGGUACUCGAGUGGCGAACGGGUGAGUAACACGUGGGUGAUCUGCCCUGCACUUCGGGAUAAGCCUGGGAAACUGGGUCUAAUACCGGAUAGGACCACUUCUUGGAUGUUGUGGUGGAAAGUUUUUUCGGUGUGGGAUGAGCUCGCGGCCUAUCAGCUUGUUGGUGGGGUAAUGGCCUACCAAGGCGUCGACGGGUAGCCGGCCUGAGAGGGUGUACGGCCACAUUGGGACUGAGAGGCGGCCCAGACUCCUACGGGAGGCAGCAGUGGGGAAUAUUGCACAAUGGGCGCAAGCCUGAUGCAGCGACGCCGCGGGGGGGAUGACGGCCUUCGGGUUGUAAACUCCUUUCGCUAGGGACGAAGCGUUUUGUGACGGUACCUGGAGAAGAAGCACCGGCUAACUACGUG